CACGUAGGGCGCAAGCGUUGUCCGGAAUUAUUGGGCGUAAAGAGCUCGUAGGUGGUUUGUUACGUCUGCUGUGAAAUCCUAGGGCUUAACCCUGGGCUUGCAGUGGAUACGGGCAGACUAGAGGUAGGUAGGGGAGAAUGGGAAUUCCUGGUGUAGCGGUGAAAUGCGCAGAUAUCAGGAGGAACACCGGUGGCGAAGGCGGUUCUCUGGGGCCUUACCUGACACUGAGGAGCGAAAGCGUGGGGAGCGAACAGG
Molecule: ribosomal RNA, 255 nt
Filed under: uncultured bacterium
Lineage: Bacteria
Description: partial 16S ribosomal RNA
Rfam family: Bacterial small subunit ribosomal RNA
Source: RNAcentral